This 917-nucleotide ribosomal RNA is filed under the name uncultured archaeon. Its description in RNAcentral is "bacterial SSU rRNA". It matches the Rfam family "Archaeal small subunit ribosomal RNA", at positions 1 to 922 of the family's 1478-position model. The record is from RNAcentral.
UUCCGGUUGAUCCCGCCGGAGGUCACUGCUAUUGGAGUUCGAUUAAGCCAUGCGAGUCAAGAGUUCUUCGUGAACUCGGCGGACUGCUCAGUAACACGUGGGUAAUCUACCCUCAGGUCAGGGACAACCCCGGGAAACUGGGGAUAAUACCUGAUAGGUGAAGUGGUCUGGAAUGAUACUUCGCCCAAAGCUCCGGCGCCUGAGGAUGAGCCUGCGGCCGAUUAGGUUGUUGGCGGUGUAACGGACCACCAAGCCUGUGAUCGGUAUGGGUGGUGAGAGCCAUAGCCCGGAGAUGGGGGCUGAGACACGGCCCCAGGCCCUACGGGGCGCAGCAGGCGCGAAAACUACGCAAUGCGCGAAAGCGUGACGUGGGAACUCCAAGUGCCUUGCCUUCGGGUAAGGCUUUUGUGCAGUGUAAGUAGCUACACGAAUAAGGGCUGGGUAAGACCGGUGCCAGCCGCCGCGGUAACACCGGCAGCCCGAGUGGUGACCGCUUUUAUUGGGCCUAAAGCGUUCGUAGCCGGUCCAGUAAGUCCUUGGGUAAAUCCUUCGGCUUAACCGAAGGAAUUCCGAGGAUACUGCUGGACUUGGAGUUGAGAGAAGUCGGAGGUACCUCCGGGGUAGGGGUGAAAUCCUAUAAUCCUGGGGGGACCACCAGUGGCGAAGGCGUCCGGCUAGAGUAAGCUCGACGGUGAGGGACGAAAGCCAGGGGCGCGAACGGGAUUAGAUACCCCGGUAGUCCUGGCUGUAAACGCUGCGCGCUAGGUGUUACGUCCUCUACGAGGGGGCGUAGUGCCGAAGAGAAGUUGAUAAGCGUGCCGCCUGGGAAGUAUUACCGCAAGGUAGAAACUUAAAGGAAUUGGCGGGGGAGCACCACAAGGGGUGGAGUCUGCGGUUCAAUUGGAUUCAACGCCGGA